Molecule: ribosomal RNA, 2864 nt
Filed under: Pinus taeda (loblolly pine)
Lineage: Eukaryota; Viridiplantae; Streptophyta; Pinopsida; Pinales; Pinaceae
Description: eukaryotic LSU rRNA
Rfam family: Eukaryotic large subunit ribosomal RNA (bases 401-2864)
Source: RNAcentral
ACUCUCGAAAACGGAUAUCUCGGCUCUUGUUAUGAUGAAGAACAUAGCGAAAUGUGAUACUUAGUGUGAAUUGCAGAAUCCCGUGAAUCAUCGAGUUUUUGAACACAAUUUGCGCCCGAGGCCUCCUUCGAGGUCACGUCUGUCUGGGUGUCACAUCCCAUUAAAAUGCGCUCCAUGAAAUAUGCUAGGGAGCAGUGGAGCUGGUCAUCUGUGCCCAUCGUGGUGCGGUUGGCUGAAAUACCUCAAGCGAUGUUUCGUGGCGUGUGUCGGCGAGCGGUGAUCUUGUCCCCUUGGAUGGGCAGUCGGUGUUAGCUGAUCUGGGCUUUGUGUCACAUCGCUCGAACUUGCUUUGCUCUCUCUUGCCCUCCCAUCAGGUAGGGCAGAUUUAGCUCCAACUUUGCAACAUCAGCUCAGGCGAGAACACCUGCUGAGUUUAAGCAUAUAAUUAAGUGGAGGAAAAUAAACUUACAAGGAUUCCCCUAGUAGUGGCGAGUGAACCGAGAAGAGCCCAGCAUGAAAAUCGGGUGGCAGCGUCGCAUGAAUUGUAGUCUGUAGAAGCGUACUCCGCGGCGGACCUGGGCCAAGUCCCUUAGAAGGGGGCGCCUGGGAGGGUGACAGCCCCGUCGGCACGGGACCCUGCAGCCCUAAUUGGGUGGUAAAUUCCAUCCAAGGCUAAAUACAGGCGAGAGACCGAUAGCGAACAAGUACCGUGAGGGAAAGAUGAAAAGUACUUUGAAAAGAGAGUUAAAGAGUGCUUGAAAUUGCUAGGAGGGAAGCGAAUGGAGAAUGUCGAUGCAUCUCGGUCAGAUGCAUCGACCGUCGGAGAAAUUUCCUGGCUCCGAUGAGUAGGAGGACGUAGGGGUUUUUGAGAAACCUCAGGCGUGAGCUUGGGUGGAGCGGCCCCUGGUGCAGAUCUUGGUGGUAGUAGCAAAUAUUCAAAUGAGAACUUUGAAGACUGAAAUGGGGAAAGGUUCUAUGUGAACAGCAAUUGGACAUGGGUUAGUCGAUCCUAAGAGAUGGGGAAGCCUUGUAUCAAGGGUACACUCUGCAUGAGCAUCAAAAGGGGAUCAGGUUAAUAUUCCUGAACCGAAACAUGGCAGCGGGUGGCAACGUUAGGAAAUCCGGAGACAUCAUCAGGGGCCCCAGGAAGAGUUAUCUUUUUUUUUAACAGCUUGCCCACCCUAGAAUCGGUUCACCCAGAGAUAGGGUCCAAUAGUUGGAAGAGCACCACACGUCUUGCGAUUUCUGGUGCACCCUAGGAAACCCUUGAAAAUAUGGAGGACCGAGUACCGUUCAUGCCCGGUCAUACUCAUAACCGCCUCAGGUUUCCAAGGUGAACAACCUCUGGUCAAUAGAACAAUGUAGGUAAGGGAAGUCAGCAAAACGGAUCUGUAACUUCGGGAAAAGGAUUGGAUCUGAGGGCUGGACCUAGGGGUCUGCACCCUCAACUCAUGGACUAUCGGCAGUCUGCCCGAGCUACUCUUGUGGCGAGGGCGCGUAGUCGUGUGCCGAUUGGGCUACGAGCGUAGAAUGCCCCCUGUCGGGGGCUUUUUUGUAGGCAUCAAACAGUUGACUCAAAACUGGUACGGACAAGGGGAAUCUGACUGUUUAAUUAAAACAAAACAUUACGAUGGUCCCUGCGGAUGCUGACACAAUGUGAUUUCUACCCAGUGCUCUGAAUGUCAAAGUAAAGAAACUCAACCAAGCGCGGGUAAACGGUGGGAGUAACUAUGACUCUCUUAAGGUAGACAAAUGCCUCGUCAUCUAAUUAGUGACGCGCAUGAGUGGAUUAAGGAGAUUCCCACUGUCCCUAUCUACUAUCUAGCGAAACCAUAGCCAAGGGAACGGGCUUGGUAGAAUCAGCGGGGAAAGAAGACCUUGUUGAGCUUGACUCUAGUCCGACUUUGUGAAAUGACUUGAGAGGUGUAGAAUAAGUGGGAGUUGUUUUUGGCGCAAGUGAAAUACCACUACUUUUAAUGUUAUUUUACUUAUUUCGAGGGGCAGAGAUGGGGUACUGCCCUUGUUUUUGGCCUCAAGGCACGUUUAGACCGGUCGAUCUGGGUGGAAGACAUUGUCAGGUGGGGAGUUUGGCUGGGGCGACACAUCUGUUAAAAGAUAACGCAGGUGUCCUAAGAUGAGCUCAACGAGAACAUAAAUAUCAUGUGGAACAAAAGGGUAAAAGCUCACUUGAUUUUGAUUUUCAGUACGAAGACAAACCGUGAAAGCAUGGUCUAUCGAUCCUUUAGAUUUUCAGAAUUUGAAGCUAGAGGUGUCAGAAAAGUUACCACAGGGAUAACUUGCUUGUGGCACCCAAGCGUUCAUAGCGACAUUGAUUUUUGAUCCUUCGAUGUCGGCUCUUCCUAUCAUUGUGAAGCAGAAUUCACCAAGUGUUGGAUUGUCCAACCACCAAUAGGGAACGUGAGCUGGGUUUAGACCGUUGUGAGAUAGGUUAGUUUUACCCUACUGAUGAACCACACCACAAUAGUAAUUCAACUUAGAAUGAGAGGAACCAUUGAUUCACACAAUUGGUCAUCACGCUUGGUUGAAAAGCCAGUGCCACGAAGCUACCGUGUGUCGGCUUAUGAUUGAAUGCCUUUAAGUCAGAAUCCACACUAGAAGCGGUGCAUGUGACUCUUCGACUGUAUCUUGACUUGCAGUAGGGGCGUCGCUUUGUCGCCCCCAGGGGCCCGUAUCAUUUUCAAACCGUGACCGUGAAGCAUCUCGGUCAGGGCAGCUUUGAAGUUAAAUUCCAAACAGUCGUUGAGAAGAAUCCUUUGCAGACAACUUAAAUAUGCGACGGGGUAUUGUAAGUGGAAGAGUGGCCUUGCUGCCACGAUCCACUGAGAUUCAGCCCUUGGUCGCCU